Molecule: ribosomal RNA, 32 nt
Filed under: Solanum pseudolulo
Lineage: Eukaryota; Viridiplantae; Streptophyta; Magnoliopsida; Solanales; Solanaceae
Source: RNAcentral
GGAUGCGGUCAUACCAGCACUAACGCACCGGA